RNAcentral lists this RNase P RNA (350 nucleotides) under Candidatus Caldatribacterium oleiphilum. RNAcentral describes it as "RNase P RNA component class A". It matches the Rfam family "Bacterial RNase P class A". Rfam says of the family: Ribonuclease P (RNase P) is a ubiquitous endoribonuclease, found in archaea, bacteria and eukarya as well as chloroplasts and mitochondria. The record is from RNAcentral. Lineage: Bacteria; Pseudomonadati; Atribacterota; Atribacteria; Atribacterales; Candidatus Caldatribacteriaceae.
AGGGUAGGUCGGGCAACCGCGGGAGGUUAAAGCCUCCUGAGGAAAGUCCGAGCUCCACAGAGCAGGGUACUGGGUAACACCCAGUGGGGGUAACCCCAGGAAAGUGCCACAGAAAACAUACCGCCCCGAAAGGGGUAAGGGUGAAAAGGUGAGGUAAGAGCUCACCGGACGUCGGGUGACCGGCGUGCCUGGCAAACCCUACCCGGAGCAAGGCUAAAUAGGAAGGGAUGAGGUGGCUCGCUGACCUUCGGGUUAGCCGCUUGAGGGGUGGAGUAAUCCACCCCCCAGACAGAUGGUUGCCGCUCUCCGAAAGGAGAGUACAGAACUCGGCUUACAGACCUGCCCUCCUC